AAUUAUCAAAGCAAGUCUUUUGUUAGCUCGAUCGGCUUUGCUUUGGACUUGGAGGUCUGCAGAUUCACGUCUGCUCCUCUCAAAUGCAUUAGCUGGAUCUCAGCGAGCUCGGUUCCACUCGGCGUGAUAAGUAUCACUCGCUGAGGACACCUGUAAAAAAGGUGGCCGGGAUCGCGGAUGAACCGCUUCCAACGGUCUAUUGAAUUAGACAACAUACUUUAUG
RNAcentral lists this unclassified non-coding RNA (223 nucleotides) under uncultured Ceratobasidium. RNAcentral's name for it is "sequence contains ITS2". Lineage: Eukaryota; Fungi; Basidiomycota; Agaricomycetes; Cantharellales; Ceratobasidiaceae. The record is from RNAcentral.